This is a long non-coding RNA of Enhydra lutris kenyoni (northern sea otter), 1936 nucleotides long. RefSeq lists it as uncharacterized. The record is from RefSeq and is a predicted model, not a curated record. The transcript is spliced from 6 exons. Lineage: Eukaryota; Metazoa; Chordata; Mammalia; Carnivora; Mustelidae.
GAAUUUAACCACUCAGUUUUCUGACCUGUCACUGGAUCCUACCCAGUAGUAUCAGAAGGAAGCUGAAAAUGGUGUUAGCUGCACUUAGGACAAACAAAAAUCAUUCCAGGUAAAAUAACCUUGUAAAGAAAAGUAAUAGUGUAUUAUAGAGGCCUUGGCUAGGUUCAUGAUGACAAAGGACCUUGUCUGAACAUAAUGAUUUCAAAACUUGAGCUUAAAUGACACUCUGAAAUCCAGUCAAUGUGCCUCAGUAGACUUUUCAGAGAACAUUAUUUUCAACAGAUAUUUUGACUUACUGUGGAAACUUGAAUACUUAGAAAUGGCAGGUGUAAAUUGGCAGUAUGCAUUGCCAAUUCUUCAGACAUCUUUUUUUAGGUUUUCAUAAGAUAUUCUGAGCUUAUUAUUUUUCCCUUCUUUUUAAACAUGUAUGCUGUUGAAAGCAAAAAAGGAAACUCAUCCUUAGAUCCCAGAAGGUGCACACACAUGCUGAGAUGGAAGCAAGGACAUGUAAAAGGGAGACAACCACUUCUUCGAUCAAACAUAGAAUGCCAAAAUUAGUGAUGUCCAGGAAAGAGGGGAACUAAUAUUUGUGGAACAUGUAUUAUAAAAUGCAGGGUGAGAGGAUCUCUACUGCUUAAUUGAGAUGAUGAAGGACCAAUAAGAGAGCAGUAUUUGAAAUCCAGUUCCAAGGAUAUAUUUGUUUUAGAUGUGAAUGUUGAUUAAUGACUUCAGGUAUUAAAUGCAGCAAGUCCAUCUAUGCCAAAAUGGCCAUUAUGAAUAGUUUGUGAGUGAUCAUGAAGAACGUGUGAUUUAGAGACUAGUACAGCAGAGUUUUACACACUGAAACAGUAUUGUGGGAUACACGAAAAGAAUAUGGGAGAAGAUGGGAUAUGAGAAGUACAUGAUGAAAAGAAGAGAUUUAUAGAUAACCUGAGGACAACUGACAUCAGGAAUAUACCUCAUGCUAUGGACUUCCUUAAUGUAAAAGUCUUAACUGGGAACAAUAGGAGGUGAUAGUUCCAUGAAAACACACUUCCGCCCUCCUGGUUUGUAAUUGCAAGAAUUGGUAUCAUCAGACCUCUCAUUGGCAGUAUUAUUCAUUCAAGGGUUCUUCACCUCUGAUCUCUGGUUCCAGGAAUACCCCUUGGAGAAAUUACUGUGUUGACUAAACAGAAAGACUGAUGCUCUUGCUUCUGCCACCAUCUUCAAAUCCAAAAGACAGUCUUCAUAAUGUAUGGAGACUUCUGUUUCAUGUUUUGGAGUGGAUACUCCUCGCAGAUCAGAAAAAAUGGACUGAGAAAACUCAAGUUUGAAAAUUACCUAGAGUGUCAUUGGAGGGAAUUGUAACCAGGCAUGUUGACUGUUUUCAUAAUUGACAUUGGACUAAAUCUCAGGAGCUUGAAUGGUGGAGAUGUUAUUACCCAGAGAGGUUCAGUAUGGUGUGAUUGAAAGGCAUCAUUUCAGUAUUCCCAUUAGAAUAAAGUACAUGUAUUUAUAAUUUUCACUUAUUACAGGGUAAAUUUAAAAUUGAUGGACAAAAAAUUACCCUUUUCCAGAUUUCAAAAGGCACAGAAAUUUAUCAAGGAUAAACUUUUUACUUCUUAAAUGCUUUUUUUCUCCUAAUUCUACUCUCCAAAAUUAUCUACAGUUAAUGGGAGUUUUGUGUUUAUACUCUUCGGGUAUAUUGAUGAACAAAAUUUAUGCUAGUUGUCUUUUGGGCCAAUAUAUUAGCUACAAAUUUUCUAGGCAGUUAAUAUGCUUUAUUUAGAAAUGAUUUUUAACUUCUCUGGCUAAUUUGUUGAAAAUAGUCGUAGUAUUUCCACCUUCUCAGAAUUAAGUAUACCCAAAAUUUACAUUCUGAGUCAAAAGUAAAAAUUUUCCUAAAAUGGUAUAGAUUGUCCUCAUCAGUUUUUCUCCCACUAUUUGUUUAUGAGAU